This 798-nucleotide ribosomal RNA is filed under the name Eleutherodactylus pentasyringos. RNAcentral describes it as "partial 16S ribosomal RNA". It matches the Rfam family "Bacterial large subunit ribosomal RNA", at positions 1214 to 2528 of the family's 2925-position model. The record is from RNAcentral. Lineage: Eukaryota; Metazoa; Chordata; Amphibia; Anura; Eleutherodactylidae.
CGUCAAAGCUUAAUUAUAUUAUUCAACAAAUCCCCUAAACAAAUUAGAACCCUACCCCAAUACUGAAUAAUUCCAUACAUCUAUGGAAGCUAUUAUGUUAAAACUAGUAACAUGAAGAUACCUUCUCUUAAAUAUGAACGUAAGUCAGGAUGGAUUAUACACUGACAAUUAACAGCUUAAACUAAAGUGAUAACAACCCAAGAAAAUUUCACUAACCCAUCUGUUAACCUAACACAAGAAUAUUUAAAGAAUGACUCAAAGAAAAAGAAGGAACUCGGCAAAAGCUGAUUCCGCCUGUUUACCAAAAACAUCGCCUCCUGAAUAUAAACCAUAGGAGGUCCAGCCUGCCCAGUGACUCUGUUUAACGGCCGCGGUAUCCUAACCGUGCGAAGGUAGCGUAAUCACCUGUUUUUUAAUUAAAGACCUGUAUGAAAGGCAUCACGAGAAUCACACUGUCUCCUUUUUCAAGUCAGUGAAACUAAUCUCCUCGUGAAAAAGCGAGGAUACCUCUACAAGACGAGAAGACCCUUUGGAGCUUAAGACAAAUAAAUAUUUGCCCAUUUAUAAAACCCUCCAUGCCUUACAGCAUCAUAUUUAUAAGUCUUGGGUUGGGGCAACCGCGGAAUAAAAACAAACCUCCAAGCUGAACGGAAAUUUUCUAAACAAAAAGCAACAACUUUAUGUAUCACAAACUGACACAAUUUGACCCAAUAUAUUGAUUAACGAACUAAGUUACCCCAGGGAUAACAGCGCAAUCCACUUCAAGAGUUCAUAUCGAAAAGUGGGCUUACGACCUCG